Molecule: ribosomal RNA, 505 nt
Filed under: uncultured bacterium
Lineage: Bacteria
Description: partial 16S ribosomal RNA
Rfam family: Bacterial small subunit ribosomal RNA
Source: RNAcentral
GACGAACGCUGGCGGCGUGCCUAAUACAUGCCAGUAGAACGCACAGUUUAUACCGUAGCUUGCUACACCAUAGACUGUGAGUUGCGAACGGGUGAGUAACGCGUAGGUAACCUGCCUGGUAGCGGGUGAUAACUAUUGGAAACGAUAGCUAAUACCGCAUAAUAUUAAUUAUUGCAUGAUAAUUGAUUGAAAGAUGCAACUGCAUCACUACCAGAUGGACCUGCGUUGUAUUAGCUAGUAGGUGAGGUAACGGCUCACCUAGGCGACGAUACAUAGCCGACCUGAGAGGGUGAUCGGCCACACUGGGACUGAGACACGGCCCAGACUACUACGGGAGGCAGCAGUAGGGAAUCUUCGGCAAUGGACGAAAGUCUGACCGAGCAACGCCGCGUGAGUGAAGAAGGGUUUCGGAUCGUAAAGCUCUGUUGUAAGAGAAGAACGGGUGUGAGAGUGGAAAGUUCACACUGUGACGGUAUCUUACCAGAAAGGGACGGCUAACUACGUG